This is a long non-coding RNA of Ipomoea nil (Japanese morning glory), 716 nucleotides long. RefSeq lists it as uncharacterized. The transcript is spliced from 6 exons. The record is from RefSeq and is a predicted model, not a curated record. NCBI's taxonomy places the organism in Eukaryota, Viridiplantae, Streptophyta, Magnoliopsida, Solanales, Convolvulaceae.
GCAUCUGAAUCAUCUUCAUUUAGCAUCCUUGAUAGCUGAUCUUGAUCAUCACUUAAACAGGGACAGUAAUGAUCAACUAAGUCUGAAUCAUGUGCUAUUGCAACCACAGAGUUGGAGUAAAACAAUCAAAGGACCUUCCACGUGGGUCUUGAAAUAAUGCAUGGCCGUAUCAACAUGUUGAUCCCAAACAGUACACUUAAGAUGAUUGCCCCUAAAAGUUAAAUAAACAGAUUGUGUAACUACCCUACACCUCAAAGUGAUAUAAUUGAUGCUUUAAACAGUGGCCUGGUGUAACUAUAGUACUGAUCAAAGUGAAAAAUUGAAUGCAUUAAACAGUGGCCUGUUGAAAUUGAAAGAGAACUUACCUCACUGUCAUGAAAGACACAUUCCUGACUCUUGAUGCUAUCCGAACUGUUGCGACCUUCGGGUACCGUAUAGAUAUUCAGAAAUUUGAAAGCAACCAAGAAAGAUGAAGGAAUCACUUAGACUGAAGGAGAGAAUAAUGGUAGACAAUUAUGAAGUUAGUACCAAGUAUUUAUACAGGCUUGGUGAGAAGUUUCAAAUCAGCCAUGAUCUCUCGGUUGCCUCCCAAAUGAGACUGCACAUUGGAAGAACAAACGACGCAUGGGCAAAUUUAAUUUGCAACUUCAUAUAUAUAUGUUGUAUCCGUUGUAUGUAGAUCGUAAAAUCAAUUGUAUUUGUAUUUGUAUCGUAUU